AGUGAACGCUGGCGGUAGGCCUAACACAUGCAAGUCGAACGGCAGCACAGUAAGAGCUUGCUCUUACGGGUGGCGAGUGGCGGACGGGUGAGGAAUACAUCGGAAUCUACUUUUUCGUGGGGGAUAACGUAGGAAAACUUACGCUAAUACCGCAUACGACCUACGGGUGAAAGCAGGGGAUCUUCGGACCUUGCGCGAUUGAAUGAGCCGAUGUCGGAUUAGCUAGUUGGCGGGGUAAAGGCCCACCAAGGCGACGAUCCGUAGCUGGUCUGAGAGGAUGAUCAGCCACACUGGAACUGGGACACGGUCCAGACUCCUACGGGAGGCAGCAGUGGGGAAUAUUGGACAAUGGGCGCAAGCCUGAUCCAGCCAUACCGCGUGGGUGAAGAAGGCCUUCGGGUUGUAAAGCCCUUUUGUUGGGAAAGAAAAGCAGCAGGUUAAUACCCCGCUGUUCUGACGGUACCCAAAGAAUAAGCACCGGCUAACUUCGUG
RNAcentral lists this ribosomal RNA (492 nucleotides) under uncultured bacterium. RNAcentral describes it as "partial 16S ribosomal RNA". It matches the Rfam family "Bacterial small subunit ribosomal RNA", at positions 29 to 507 of the family's 1533-position model. The record is from RNAcentral.